UACAAUCCCUUCCACAAGAAGCAAAAGAAAAAUACUUCGAAGAACUUAUCAACAAAAAUGAUGAAGUUUUCUUCUCUUCUUGUGCUUUUCUUUAUUUUCCCGAUCGCAUUGGCCCAACUGCGAGUCGGAUUUUAUAGCCGGUCAUGCCCUCAAGCCGAGACUAUCGUACGCAAUCUGGUGCGCCAACGGUUUGGUGUUGACCCAACCGUAACUGCUGCUUUGCUCCGUAUGCACUUUCACGACUGUUUCGUUAGGGGCUGUGACGCUUCCCUUCUCAUUGACUCAACCAACUCUGAGAAAACGGCCGGACCAAACGGAAGCGUUAGAGAAUUUGACCUGAUUGACCGCAUCAAGGCUCAGCUAGAGGCUGCGUCUCCCUCCACGGUCUCAUGCGCUCGGGCCCGGUCUUGAGCAGAUACUCAAGAAACAUUGGCCCACAUUUUUGGUUUCGUAUUGGACCCGAAAUAUCUCAGGACCGGCACUGACUGUAAGGAACUAAUUGCAAUGGUAAAAGACCCUCAGACGUGGCCAAGCUUUUCGACGGAAUUGGAAAGGAUAGAGACGCUACAGAUAUGUUUCCCAGCUUUCAACAUCUCGCAUGUUCCACGGACGCACAAUCAGAUUGCUGAUUUUUUGGCUAAGACUGCUAGAUCUUUUCAUAGGGAGUUACAUUUUGUUGGUUGUUCUAUUCCGGUUUGGUUACCUAGACCACUUCAAGUUUGAGUAAUAGAAUGGACUUUUGACGUUAAAAAAAAAAAAAAAAGAAUAUACGAAUAAACACAAGAACCAAUGAAAUCCGUCUUUUUGAGGAUAAGUAUUUAAUUGAGUUCAUUGGCAAAAGAGUUCUUGGGAAAUUAUAUUCUUGGUCAAACAAAUAGACAGCCAUUUGUUAGGGCUUUCCAAUAUGGUCAUCAGUUGAUUAAUUAACACAGUUAUAUUAUUCUUUU
Long non-coding RNA from Brassica napus (rape), 947 nucleotides. RefSeq lists it as uncharacterized. Lineage: Eukaryota; Viridiplantae; Streptophyta; Magnoliopsida; Brassicales; Brassicaceae. The transcript is spliced from 3 exons. The record is from RefSeq and is a predicted model, not a curated record.